CUCUGGGGCGGGCGGGGGGGGGCGGUCCACGGGCCCCCUACGCCCUUUCCCAGAGCGGGGUCUCACUGGCUCCAUGAAGGAAAACAAGGCUGGCUUAUGGUGAAUUUCCAGUCAUUUCAGCUCUGGUUCCCUGAUGAGAGAGAAGCUAAGAAGCCGCUAGAAGGGACAAGAUACUAACAAGAAGUGGUGCCCAAAGAGGCCCUUAUUGGAGCCCUGGGAUUAGAGGAAGUUGAGAGAGGUAGCCAGGAAAAGUAUCAAUAGGAAACACCAGAAGGUGCUGAGCAAAAGUGGUAUUGAAAUAUUGGUGGUUAACAAAGUGCUUUGCAUAUUGUGGGCACUUAAUAAAUGCUUGAUCCUGAAUUUGUAACCUGGUGUCUUGGUGAGAGCUCUGAAUUCAGUCAGAAAACUGAGUUCAGCCCUUGACUGGACACCAGCUAUGACCUUGGACAUGUCACUCAAAGCCUCUCUGGCUUCCUUCACAGCUCCUGGGAGGCUUCCCUGAAGCCCCCACCCCCCCAAUCAAAUUACUUUGCUUUUACUUGGUAUGUACUCUGUGUUUUAACAAUAUGCCUGUAUCCAUUCUCCUUUCCUCUCCACAAUAUAAACUC
Molecule: long non-coding RNA, 608 nt
Organism: Dromiciops gliroides (monito del monte)
Lineage: Eukaryota; Metazoa; Chordata; Mammalia; Microbiotheria; Microbiotheriidae
Exons: 4
Source: RefSeq, a predicted model, not a curated record